Molecule: long non-coding RNA, 847 nt
Filed under: Sorghum bicolor (sorghum)
Lineage: Eukaryota; Viridiplantae; Streptophyta; Magnoliopsida; Poales; Poaceae
Description: long non-coding RNA (SBIC_LNC007917)
Source: RNAcentral
GACAAGUAAUAAAUGAUGUGAAAUAGACGGGUUUCCCAUGCUCAAUGGAGUUGAGCCGAUAGUCCACUAGCAGUUUGACAUGUGGGACUUUAAUUUUGCAUACCAUUGCAUAUAGUAGUUUAAGUUCUUCAUCACUUUAGGUGUGACCUCUAAUUCUAGGAAAAAGAGUAAUACACAUCCAGUAAUGAAGAAAAUGUAGGGUCCGAUUAUGGAUUUGGUAGGGUGCAUGAUUAGAGCAGUCAUUGGAGCCAGAAAUUGCUUUCGAAAAGUCAUUUUUGCUAAACCCAUUAGUGGCAUGGUCUAGAUCAAGUUGGCAAUUGUGCUCACAUCCUAGGGUGGUGUUCAAGAUGCUCUAAGUUAAAUUAUAUUCUUCCCCAAACAUGCAAAAUGCUACCCCAUUAAUUGUUAAUUGUAAGGUACACAAGAAAUUCUUGGGUGAGCACUUUUAUUCCAAGUUCGGGAACUAUCCAAAAUCCUCCCCAACCAAUUGUGCUAAAAAUAGCAUUAAAUUUUGUGCUCAUACUUGUGCGGUCCAAGAGAACCGGAUCGAUGAUGCUUGUGCAUUGGAAACUACUUGCUCACAGGGUGUUUUAUUUCUACAGCUCUUCUUGGUUUAACAUGAGGCCGCUCUCGGGCUCUAUUACUCUUGAUGGAGGCUCAUAGAGUACCAAUUGGUGGUAGCUCUCUUCCUCAUCCUUCUUCCAAUGGGUUCCUUCAUCGAUGUGGUGAGAGUCUUGGGAAGAAAUCUCACCCUUCUUGGACUUUUUGAACCUGGAGGUGAGUAACUUCUUCAUCUAGCUGCACAAGUGAGGCAAACCAAGAUCCUACUACUAGUACUAUGCAAGAG